GACGAACGCUGGCGGCGUGCUUAACACAUGCAAGUCGAACGGAAAGGCCCUGCUUUCGUGGGGUGCUCGAGUGGCGAACGGGUGAGUAACACGUGAGUAACCUGCCCUUGACUUUGGGAUAACUUCAGGAAACUGGGGCUAAUACCGGAUAGGAGCUCCUGCUGCAUGGUGGGGGUUGGAAAGUUUCGGCGGUUGGGGAUGGACUCGCGGCUUAUCAGCUUGUUGGUGGGGUAGUGGCUUACCAAGGCUUUGACGGGUACCCGGCCUGAGAGGGUGACCGGCCACAUUGGGACUGAGAUACGGCCCAGACGCCUACGUGAGGCAGCAGUGGGGAAUAUUGCACAGUGGGCCGAAGCCUGAUGCAGCAACGCCGCGUGCGUGAUGACGGCUUGCGGGUUGUAAACCGCUUUCGCCUGUUACGAAGCGUGAGUGACGGUAAUGGGUAAAGAAGCACCGGCUAACUACGUG
This 468-nucleotide ribosomal RNA is filed under the name uncultured bacterium. RNAcentral describes it as "partial 16S ribosomal RNA". It matches the Rfam family "Bacterial small subunit ribosomal RNA", at positions 28 to 507 of the family's 1533-position model. The record is from RNAcentral.